Molecule: ribosomal RNA, 119 nt
Filed under: Pantoea ananatis
Lineage: Bacteria; Pseudomonadati; Pseudomonadota; Gammaproteobacteria; Enterobacterales; Erwiniaceae
Description: partial 16S ribosomal RNA
Rfam family: Bacterial small subunit ribosomal RNA
Source: RNAcentral
UUAAAUUGAAGAGUUUGAUCAUGGCUCAGAUUGAACGCUGGCGGCAGGCCUAACACAUGCAAGUCGGACGGUAGCACAGAGGAGCUUGCUCCUCGGGUGACGAGUGGCGGAAGGGGGAG